AUUUAUAUAGUUUAAAUAAAACAUUAUAUUUUCAAUAUAAAAUUAAUUAAUUCCAAUUUAUAAAUU
RNAcentral lists this transfer RNA (66 nucleotides) under Apis cerana (Asiatic honeybee). RNAcentral describes it as "tRNA-Glu". The record is from RNAcentral. Lineage: Eukaryota; Metazoa; Arthropoda; Insecta; Hymenoptera; Apidae.